CAGCAUGCAUCAGUCCUUGAGAACUGAACUAUGAGAAUGGCCACUGGACGAAGAUCACACUGGACACAGGAAGGUGCAAACACAGGACAGACGCAAACAGCACUCCAAAGGCUUUGAAAUCAUAAACAAUUAAAUUCACAUUGGAAUCACAACCCGUAGAUAAGGCUGGUCAGAACCAGCAGCCUGAACCCAACCAGGUCAUAUGUGAACACCUGCUGGCACCUUGAUCUUGGACUUCCCAACCUCCAGAACUGUGAGACAUAAAUUUCUAUUGUUUUUUUUUAGUGUUUUUUAUGUGUUUUGUGUUCUAAAUUUUAUUUUUCAGCCUCAAUAUAUGACAUUUUAAAUUUUUGUUGUUUAUAAG
Molecule: long non-coding RNA, 364 nt
Filed under: Homo sapiens (human)
Lineage: Eukaryota; Metazoa; Chordata; Mammalia; Primates; Hominidae
Description: HSALNT0160049
Source: RNAcentral